Molecule: ribosomal RNA, 418 nt
Filed under: uncultured bacterium
Lineage: Bacteria
Description: bacterial SSU rRNA
Rfam family: Bacterial small subunit ribosomal RNA
Source: RNAcentral
GUGAGGAAUAUUGCGCAAUGGGGGAAACCCUGACGCAGCGACGCCGCGUGGAGGAUGAAGGCCCUCGGGUCGUAAACUCCUUUCGCCAGGGACGAAUGGCUCUUCGGAGUUUGACGGUACCUGGAUAAGAAGCCCCGGCUAACUACGUGCCAGCAGCCGCGGUAAUACGUAGGGGGCAAGCGUUGCUCGGAAUUACUGGGCGUAAAGGGUCUGUAGGCGGUUGGGCAAGUUGGUUGUGAAAUCUCCCGGCUUAACUGGGAGGCUGCGAUCAAAACUGCUCGACUUGAGGGCCGGAGAGGCAGGUAGAAUUCCUGGUGUAGCGGUGAAAUGCGUAGAGAUCAGGAGGAAUACCGGUGGCGAAGGCGGCCUGCUGGACGGCAUCUGACGCUGAGAGACGAAAGCUGGGGGAGCAAACAGG